This 488-nucleotide long non-coding RNA is filed under the name Phoenix dactylifera (date palm). RNAcentral's name for it is "long non-coding RNA (PDAC_LNC003416)". The record is from RNAcentral. Lineage: Eukaryota; Viridiplantae; Streptophyta; Magnoliopsida; Arecales; Arecaceae.
AUUCCUAGGACUUCUUGCCCCCGAGCAUGCUCAACUAUGGAUUUCUAACUGUAUAUAGUGCUACCUAAGAAGAUAACUUUUCGGAGACCCUAACAUCAAGGCUCGUCUUUUCCAUCAAAAAAAAAUAUAUAUCAAGGGCUGUUGUAUUUGAAAGGAAAGAAAGAAAAUUUUAGGGGUUAUUUUGCUGUAGGAAAGGGAAAUGGAGCUAUUUCCUCACGUGGCUUGAGGCAUUAUUGGUUGUGGCUCUGAUGAGGACCCAACUCAACUAUUUUUAUAAGGAGGAGGUGGGAUCGAUCGGAUGGGCCCUUCAAGGAUCCCUUCACCAAGUUCCAUCAACCCCGAGGAGAUAAGAUGCGUCCAAAGUCCCUUUAGCUGCUGUCGUGUACACAGCCAGUCCUCACAUCCCUUGCAGCCCUCCCAUUUCUCUAUCCUGAUGUUCUCUGUGCGUGUGUGAGAGCGUGCUCGCUCUCUUCUCCUCUCCUCUUCCC